AUUGAACGCUGGCGGCAGGCUUAACACAUGCAAGUCGAGCGGUUUAGUUAGCUUGCUAACUAGAUAGCGGCGAACGGGUGAGUAAUGCCUAGGAAUCUGCCUGAUAGUGGGGGACAACGUGUGGAAACGCACGCUAAUACCGCAUACGUCUACGGGAGAAAGGGGGCUUUUCGGAGCUCUCGCUAACAGAUGAGCCUAGGUCAGAUUAGCUAGUUGGUAGGGUAAAGGCCUACCAAGGCGACGAUCUGUAGCGGGUCUGAGAGGAUGAUCCGCCACACUGGAACUGAGACACGGUCCAGACUCUACGGGAGGCAGCAGUGGGGAAUAUUGGACAAUGGGCGAAAGCCUGAUCCAGCCAUGCCGCGUGUGUGAAGAAGGCCUUUUGGUUGUAAAGCACUUUAAGCGGGGAGGAGGGCACCACGGUUAAUAUCCGUGAAUGUCGGACGUUACCCGCAGAAUAAGCACCGGCUAACUCUGUGC
This 480-nucleotide ribosomal RNA is filed under the name uncultured Gammaproteobacteria bacterium. Its description in RNAcentral is "bacterial SSU rRNA". It matches the Rfam family "Bacterial small subunit ribosomal RNA", at positions 30 to 508 of the family's 1533-position model. Lineage: Bacteria; Pseudomonadati; Pseudomonadota; Gammaproteobacteria. The record is from RNAcentral.